RNAcentral lists this non-coding RNA (288 nucleotides) under Lachnoclostridium phytofermentans. RNAcentral's name for it is "Clostridium phytofermentans T-box sequence". It matches the Rfam family "T-box leader". Rfam says of the family: Uncharged tRNA acts as the effector for transcription antitermination of genes in the T-box leader family. T-boxes are found upstream of many aminoacyl-tRNA synthetase genes and some amino acid biosynthetic genes usually in Gram-positive bacteria. The anticodon of a specific tRNA base pairs to a specifier sequence within the T-box motif, and the NCCA acceptor tail of the tRNA base pairs to a conserved bulge in the T-box antiterminator hairpin. The record is from RNAcentral. Lineage: Bacteria; Bacillati; Bacillota; Clostridia; Lachnospirales; Lachnospiraceae.
AUAAAUGUAGUGAUGGAGAGGAUUACAUAAGUAACCUUGUCAGAGAUAACAAUCCAUUGGCUGUGAGGUUGUUUCAAGUAGUGCUUAUCGAAGGUAGCUCCGGAACAGUGUUUCUGAAACUUUAAGUAGCGUGUAGGAAAUGCCGGGAAGUCCCGUUAUAGACGAGCGUUUUAUAUGAAAUGCGAAAAAGGUGAAUAUUAGAAAAAUUCUUACUGUCACAAUUGGCGACAAGAUAAGAAAUGUUUCUUUUCACAAAUUAAGGUGGUACCACGGUUCUUCGUCCUUAUC